GAUACGCGAGGAACCUUACCUGGCUUAAUGGGAGUGCAGCUGUCGAAAGAUGGUUUUCUUCGGUACACUCUUCAAGGUGCUGCAUGGUUGUCGUCAGCUCGUGCCGUGAGGUGUCGGGUUAAGUCCCAUAACGAGCGCAACCCUUACCGUUAGUUACCAUCAGGUUUAAGCUGGGGACUCUAGCGGGACUGCCACCGUAAGGUGAGAGGAAGUGGGGAUGACGUCAAAUCAGCACGGCCCUUAUGUCCAGGGCUACACACGUGUUACAAUGGCCAGUACAAAGGGCAGCUACCGGGUGACCGGAUGCUAAUCUCUAAAGCUGGUCUCAGUUCGGAUCGAAGUCUGCAACCCGACUUCGUGAAGCUGGAUUCGCUAGUAAUCGCGCAUCAGCCAUGGCGCGGCCGAAUACGUUCCCGGGCCUU
This 422-nucleotide ribosomal RNA is filed under the name uncultured Sphingobacteriales bacterium. RNAcentral describes it as "bacterial SSU rRNA". It matches the Rfam family "Bacterial small subunit ribosomal RNA", at positions 956 to 1382 of the family's 1533-position model. The record is from RNAcentral. Lineage: Bacteria; Pseudomonadati; Bacteroidota; Sphingobacteriia; Sphingobacteriales.